AUCUCUCAUUUUCUCUCUAUCUCUCUCACACACACACAUAGAGAUCUUCACGUUCACACUCACACUCACACACAAACAAAGAGCUCCGCCUGCACCGACGAGAAGAGACCAGCCCAACGUCGACAAGGCCGAACCCAACUUAGCUUGUCAACUUCUCAUACCCAUCGACCCAAAUAAUGUCUUACACAAUUCAAAGCAUUUUUUCAUUCAGCAAUUAUUGAGAAACAACACACUUUUAACUUGCUGUACCAAACCAACUCUAAGACUGUGAGGAAGAGAAAGACAUUCAAAAUGGCAGCUUCGGUUGUUGGAAGAUCCACACUAGUGCAUGCAUUUUGCAGAGCAUAAACGAAUCCUUCUUCGGCAACAAGGAGAUUCUCAUUGCCCCCGCGUAGGUCCAAUUUUGUGCCUCAUCGGUCUCCGACUUCCUCUCCUCCUUUAAGGUUGCUUUGAAGAGAAUUGAGUUCUCUUCAGCCUAUCCACUCUGCAAUUUCUUUGGCUUGCCUUGUCUCCAAGCACCCCAGUGAAGCCAGCACCUCCACCGAAGGAUGUUCCUCUGGUCCAACAAUCUCUAGGUCUCCAAAAAUCAACAGUCACAUUCCAUCAACCAAGCAGCUUAUAAGUUUUAUUUUGGUGUUCAAGGACUUUUUCGUGUACAAAGAACUACAUUUGAACAACCUUAUUUUUUUCCAAGUGUUGAAGGAUAUUUUUAAACGCUUUUGAACUUUGAUUAUGGUAUUAGUUUAAUUUGAGCGGUUGUUUUAUUCAAAUGACCACAUCUUUUUUUGUUAA
This is a long non-coding RNA of Quercus lobata, 792 nucleotides long. RefSeq lists it as uncharacterized. NCBI's taxonomy places the organism in Eukaryota, Viridiplantae, Streptophyta, Magnoliopsida, Fagales, Fagaceae. The transcript is spliced from 4 exons. The record is from RefSeq and is a predicted model, not a curated record.